GCCAGGUGCCGUGGUGCAUGCCUGUAGUCCCAGCUACCAGGGAAGCUGAGGCUGGAGGAUCACUUGAGUCCAGGAGUUCUGGGCUGCAGUGUGCUAUGCUGAUCGGGUGUCCGCACUAAGUUCAGCAUCAAUAUGGUGACCUCCCAGGAGCAGGGGACCACCAGGUUGCCUAAGGAGUGGUGAACCAGCCAAGGUUGGAAAUGGAGGAGGUUAAAUUUGUGGAAAAUUUUAGCCAUGUGUUAGGCAACUGACUCAGGUUUCAGUCAUCUGCACUUCUAAUCUGCUAAUCUCU
Molecule: signal recognition particle RNA, 292 nt
Filed under: Carlito syrichta (Philippine tarsier)
Lineage: Eukaryota; Metazoa; Chordata; Mammalia; Primates; Tarsiidae
Description: Metazoan signal recognition particle RNA (ENSTSYG00000027358.1)
Rfam family: Metazoan signal recognition particle RNA
About the family: The signal recognition particle (SRP) is a universally conserved ribonucleoprotein. It is involved in the co-translational targeting of proteins to membranes. The eukaryotic SRP consists of a 300-nucleotide 7S RNA and six proteins: SRPs 72, 68, 54, 19, 14, and 9.
Source: RNAcentral